Molecule: ribosomal RNA, 549 nt
Filed under: Wickerhamiella hasegawae
Lineage: Eukaryota; Fungi; Ascomycota; Dipodascomycetes; Dipodascales; Trichomonascaceae
Description: eukaryotic LSU rRNA
Rfam family: Eukaryotic large subunit ribosomal RNA
Source: RNAcentral
AAACCAACCGGGAUUGCCCUAGUAACGGCGAGUGAAGCGGCAAAAGCUCAAAUUUGAAAUCUGCCUUUGGCCGAGUUGUAAUUUGAAGAUGGCAUUUAGGAAUUGUCCCUGCUCAAGUUCCUUGGAACAGGACAUCAUGGAGGGUGAGAAUCCCGUGAUGCGGGGGUUGCAAUUCUGUGUUAUUUGCUUUCGAAGAGUCGAGUUGUUUGGGAAUGCAGCUCUAAGUGGGUGGUAAAUUCCAUCUAAAGCUAAAUAUUGGCGAGAGACCGAUAGCGAACAAGUACUGUGAAGGAAAGAUGAAAAGAACUUUGAAAAGAGAGUGAAAAAGUACGUGAAAUUGUUGAAAUGGAAGGGCUUGAAUCUAGACAUGGUGUUUAUGUUCCACUUUUCAUUUGAGAGGUGUACUCAUGCUCACCGGGCCAGCAUCAGUUUAGAGGGUAGGAUAAAGACUUGGGAAUGUGGCAGUUCGCUGUGUUAUAGCCCUUGUUCAUACUACCACUUUGGACUGAGGACCGCUUAUAGGAUGCUGGCGUAAUGGAUUCAAGCCAC